This 231-nucleotide long non-coding RNA is filed under the name Elaeis guineensis (African oil palm). Its description in RNAcentral is "long non-coding RNA (EGUI_LNC082571)". The record is from RNAcentral. Lineage: Eukaryota; Viridiplantae; Streptophyta; Magnoliopsida; Arecales; Arecaceae.
CGGGCUCGAUGUUGAAAGUGACAUCAACGGUAAUGGCUGCCUGGGCAAGCACGGUCGGGUCUCUCUUUUCUACCCUUGCCUUUUUCGUCGACCCAGAAGUUGCGACAUCUUUCCUCUUAUGGGCCUUGAGAUCCUUAGCUAACAUUCGAGCUGCGUCUGCAUCCAUAUCUACAACGAAAGAAGAUCGGCACAGCUUAGAAACAGAGUAGCGACAAAAGAGAGAAGUGAAAG